Molecule: long non-coding RNA, 1222 nt
Filed under: Felis catus (domestic cat)
Lineage: Eukaryota; Metazoa; Chordata; Mammalia; Carnivora; Felidae
Description: lncRNA (ENSFCAG00000044559.2)
Source: RNAcentral
GGGGUGGGCAGGAUGCCGUGAAGGUAGCUGGGCUCUCGGGGAGCAAGGAUCACCUUUCCCUGUGCGGUUCUGAGAGGUCAGGUGACCUGGGUGCGGGAACUCGUGUGUGUGUGUGUGUGUGUGUGUGUGUGUGUGCGUGCGCACAGACUGCAGAGACCAGGGGUCGUAGACUUGAGCUUGCCCAAGUAUCCCAGGAUAUGCAGGCCGGUGUGAAGGGCCUGGGGGCGCACAGAGGGGUGCACCGUGCCCCUGUCCCCCCGAUGUCAACGUACAGAUGGGAUUUUGGAUCUGCAACCCCUGGGUCCAGGGAGUGAAGUGGAAAAGUGGCCCCACCUGUCACUGCUGGUAAGCGAGGAGUGGGGAUAAGGCCCCUCACCGGGCCAUGGCGAGGACACAUAGGUGGCACCCGGGGGGGGGCAGCGAGCUUGGCGUAAUGGCAGGAGCAGCCCCCCCGGGCUUUGCAGGGGAUCCCUCAGCUUUUUCUGACCUCUGCACCUCCCCCCAUCUGCCCUUCCAGAAUCCUCUCAUGGGGCACAUUCAGUCCACCUGAUCUGCCUGACCCAGGGCUUAUCUUGUGCUUCCUGUCGGAGUUCUAGGUCCACAGGGUUUCUUGCCUGCUCAAAGCUGGCCCUGCCAUUCCCACCAGACCACAAGGACCUUCUCCAGGACUCAGAGCCCAGGGCCUUUCAUCGGACAGAGGAGAUCUGAGCACCUGGCUGGCUUUAGGGGUGCCUCCUUCUCCCAUCGUGGGGGCCUCCCGACCGCAGCCAGGUUGGGCUAGCCCCAAAGGAGACAGCAGGAUGGUUCCAGGAAGCCUGUGCAGCCAGUGAUUCCUCUCCAAGCCGCCACCAGCCUCUGUCCUCACUGCCAUCCGUGUGUGGCGGCCGGUCUCCAAGAUGGCCCCAGCGAUCCUACACUGAACCACGUCAGGGGCGAGUCGUCACUCAGCUGGAGUUACCAACGGGCCCCGGAAAGUGCACCCCCAACUCAGUGAGAAGAGGGUCUUGGCCUUUUGUCCCUGCUGGUGCCUCUUCCUUCCGACGCCUCAGACCCCAGCAGGACGCAGCACCUGUUUUCCACGCCGUGUGACCGAUUCCCGCACGUACAGUGGCUUAAACCACGCGCGCGUCUGUCACCGUGCAGGUGCGUGAGGUCAGAGGUCUGGGGACCGCGCAGCCGGGUCCUCUGCUUACUCACAGGGCUGCAGUUGGGCGGCGGCUGG